GAUGAACGCUGGCGGCGUGCCUAAUACAUGCAAGUCGAGCGAACGGACGAGAAGCUUGCUUUUCUGAUGUUAGCGGCGGACGGGUGAGUAACACGUGGAUAACCUACCUAUAAGACUGGGAUAACUUCGGGAAACCGGAGCUAAUACCGGAUAAUAUUUUGAACCGCAUGGUUCAAAAGUGAAUGACGGUCUUGCUGUCACUUAUAGAUGGAUCCGCGCUGCAUUAGCUAGUUGGUAAGGUAACGGCUUACCAAGGCAACGAUGCAUAGCCGACCUGAGAGGGUGAUCGGCCACACUGGAACUGAGACACGGUCAAGACUCCUACGGGAGGCAGCAGUAGGGAAUCUUCCGCAAUGGGCGAAAGCCUGACGGAGCAACGCCGCGUGAGUGAUGAAGGUCUUCGGAUCGUAAAACUCUGUUAUUAGGGAAGAACAUAUGUGUAAGUAACUGUGCACAUCUUGACGGUACCUAAUCAGAAAGCCACGGCUAACUACGUG
RNAcentral lists this ribosomal RNA (497 nucleotides) under uncultured bacterium. Its description in RNAcentral is "partial 16S ribosomal RNA". It matches the Rfam family "Bacterial small subunit ribosomal RNA", at positions 28 to 507 of the family's 1533-position model. The record is from RNAcentral.